CAACUUUCAACAAUGGAUCUCUUGGUUCUGGCAUCGAUGAAGAACGCAGCGAAAUGCGAUAAGUAGUGUGAAUUGCAGAAUUCAGUGAAUCAUCGAAUCUUUGAACGCACAUUGCGCCCCUUGGUAUUCCAUGGGGCAUGCCUGUUCGAGCGUCAUU
RNAcentral lists this ribosomal RNA (157 nucleotides) under Sclerostagonospora cycadis. RNAcentral's name for it is "5.8S ribosomal RNA". It matches the Rfam family "5.8S ribosomal RNA". From Rfam's summary of the family: 5.8S ribosomal RNA (5.8S rRNA) is a component of the large subunit of the eukaryotic ribosome. It is transcribed by RNA polymerase I as part of the 45S precursor that also contains 18S and 28S rRNA. Functionally, it is thought that 5.8S rRNA may be involved in ribosome translocation. Lineage: Eukaryota; Fungi; Ascomycota; Dothideomycetes; Pleosporales; Phaeosphaeriaceae. The record is from RNAcentral.